CCUACGGGUGGCAGCAGUGGGGAAUAUUGGGCAAUGGAGGCAACUCUUACCCAGCAAUGCCGCGUGAAUGAAGAAGGUCUUCGGAUUGUAAAGUUCUUUAAUUGGGGACGAAAAAAAUGACGGUACCCAAGGAAUAAGCCCCGGCUAACUACGUGCCAGCAGCCGCGGUAAUACGGGGGAUGCAAGCGUUAUCCGGAUUUAUUGGGUUUAAAGGGUGCGUAGGCUGUGAGGUAAGUCAGCGGUGAAAUGCCCCCGCUCAACGGGGUGAAGUGCCAUUGAUACUGCCUUGCUGGAAUGCGGAUGCCGUGGGAGGAAUGUGUGGUGUAGCGGUGAAAUGCAUAGAUAUCACACAGAACACCGAUUGCGAAGGCAUCUCACGAAUCCGCGAUUGACGCUGAUGCACGAAAGCGUGGGUAUCAAACAGGAUUAGAUACCCUUGUAGUC
This 444-nucleotide ribosomal RNA is filed under the name uncultured bacterium. RNAcentral's name for it is "partial 16S ribosomal RNA". It matches the Rfam family "Bacterial small subunit ribosomal RNA", at positions 338 to 795 of the family's 1533-position model. The record is from RNAcentral.